UCGGGAAUUUUGGGCAAUGGGCGAAAGCCUGACCCAGCAACGCCGCGUGAAGGAUGAAGUAUUUCGGUAUGUAAACUUCGAAAGAAUAGGGAGAAUAAAUGACGGUACUAUUUAUAAGGUCCGGCUAACUACGUGCCAGCAGCCGCGGUAAUACGUAGGGACCAAGCGUUGUUCGGAUUUACUGGGCGUAAAGGGCGCGUAGGCGGCAAUUCAAGUCAUCUGUGAAAUCUCCGGGCUUAACUCGGAACGGUCAGAUGAUACUGCUUUGCUAGAGUGCAGAAGGGGCAAUCGGAAUUCUUGGUGUAGCGGUGAAAUGCGUAGAUAUCAAGAGGAACACCUGAGGUGAAGACGGGUUGCUGGGCUGACACUGACGCUGAGGCGCGAAAGCCAGGGGAGCAAACGGGAUUAGAUACCCACGUAGUCCCUGAGCGGGCUGGCAAGGCGCAU
This 447-nucleotide ribosomal RNA is filed under the name uncultured bacterium. RNAcentral describes it as "bacterial SSU rRNA". It matches the Rfam family "Bacterial small subunit ribosomal RNA", at positions 355 to 825 of the family's 1533-position model. The record is from RNAcentral.